GUGCCAGAUCUGUUUUCCAGACUGUUCCCUGAAGUCCUGGGAAAGACAGAAAAUGUUGGGGCUUCUCUCCUUUCAAUUGCUUCAUUUUUAUUUUCAUUUGGGGGUUUUCUCCUGAAAUGUAUUUGAGAAAUAGAUUGCCACCUAAAGGAGUUUGUAACUGUCUUUACUAUUGACAUGUAUAAUUAAUAAUUUAAUACUAAUUUCCUAGAAAGUAAUGGAAAUCACUUGCUCUGGUAGUAACUAGGUUUCGUGGUGGGUGUGCAUGAACGUACGAAGCUGCAGAAUGACCCUUUUGGACAUGAUCCUUCAAAAGAGAUUUUUUUGAAUACUACCAGACCCAGAUCAACGCCUACCCCUUCUUAUAACAAAUAUUUGAUAACAUCACCGCAACCAUCGACUGAAAAUCAUGGGUGGUAAAACCUGCCUUUGUACAUAAAGGCAUCAUCCGCAUUUGCUAUUCCAAAAUGAAAUGGAUAGGUACUAUAACUGACUAUAUACAUGCCUAUCAAUGCAGGGUCUUCACUAAUAUAAACCAGAUACACAUGUGUAAGUAUUUUGUAAUGAAGUAAUUGUCUUAAUAUGUAAAUGCUCUAGCAUGAUUAUGCUCCGAGAUGUCCGAAAUAAUGAGAAAAAGCACAUAUCUGUGUUUGUAUGUGAAAUCACCAUGCCCGGGGCAGUCUGCCUUUGGCAGCUCAACCCCAGAAAUGAGAUCGAUGCCAGCAGUGCGAAUUUUCUAAAAUGUGGCCAAUUCUUUUUUUUUGAAUUGAAUGAAAGAUUCUUUCAAUUCUGUAGUACUUUACAACGUUCAAAAGUUGCGCACCCAUGAUUUCACAUGAUCCCAUAACAACCCCCUUCCCCCCUCCCCGUCCCUCUGUUGCCCCUCCCCCUUCCCUUCCCCUCUGAGAACCACUAGUUCUCUGUAUCUGCGAGUCUGCUUCUUUCUUGUUUUGUUCACUAGUUUUUGUAGUUUUUAGAUUCCACACAUAAGUGGUAUUGUACAGUAUUUGUCUUUCUCCUCCUGACUUUACCAGCAUCAUACCCUCCAAAGCCAUCCACGUUGCUGCAAAUGGCAUUACUUCAUUCUUUUUUACGGUAGAGUAGUAUUCCAUGGCGUAUAUAGGCCAUGUCUUCUUUAUCCAUUCAUACGCUGAUGGACGCUUUGGUUGCUUCCAUACCUUGGUAAAUGCUAUCCUCAACCCACUGAGUGAGGCCAGGAAUCGAACCCACAACCUCAUGGUUCCUAGUCGGACUCAUUAACCACUGAGCCACGACGGGAACUCCAAAGCUGGGAUUCAAAUGGAAGCAGUCUAGUUCUGGCAUCCUUGUUUGUCAUCACGUUGCUGUACCCGUCCCCCCAGUUCACAGAAUUGCAUUCCUGAAAACCCCAAUGCAUACUAAAACUGGGCUAAAAAUUCCCUGUAUGUUUAUAUAUAGAAAUAAUUAUAAUUUUAAACUAGACUCAGAAUUCUAAACUGGCUUUCCAUCUACAUGAAUAGUUGGCAGGGCUGUUGAAAGCUGUGCUGGCAGGGGACCAUUCUUCACCGGGAGAGUCUAACCUGGAUGCUGGGGGAGCAUCCCUGCUACACCCGAGGAAUGGAGGUAGUGGCUCUCCCACCAUUGGUACCUCAGAAGCCCUCACAUUUCCAAGAGUGCCUGUGGGGGCCAGGACCAUCCCUUUGAGAACCAGUGAUUGACAAGAAAUCCUGUUUCUGAGAGUCCUCACGGUGCCUCAGCGGUAACAAACCUGACUAGUAUCCUUGAGGAUGUGGGUUUGAACCCUGGCCCCCACUCAGUGGGUUAAGGAUCUGGCAUUGCCAUGAACUGUGGUGUAGGUUGCAGGCACGGCUCGGAUCCUGUAUUGCUGUGGCUGUGGUGUAGGCCAGCAGCUGCAGCCCUUAGCCUGGGAACUUCCAUAUGCCGAGGGUGUGGUCCUAAAAUCAACAACAACAAAAAUCCUGAUUCAUCGAGUGUCAGUCUUCACGUUAUAUAUUUGUCCAUUUUUCUGUCUCUGCUUCUCUCUCCUUGGUUGUCGCUUCACCAAACCAGGAGUUUUAGCAUCUGUUCUCUGGGGGUUGUAUCUGUUUUUGUUUUUUCCAUCUGAAAGUCAAACCGUUGUUACCUCCCCUGGCCCGAACCAUCAGUGUUCCCAAGUGUCAGUUUAUUGGCCCUCAGAAAACUCUAAGAGGUAUUUGCACUUAAUUGUUCACUCACCAAAGAGCAGGCGUAGGUCAGUCUCUUUGACACUAGCGUCUGUUGCUUUUUGCCACUGUUCGCACACGCGGGAUGGCCAUGCAGACCUGAUGUGGAUAUUUCCGCCUAUCGAAUCUGUGGUUACAGGGAAGUGGUUCAGCUUUUGCUCCUAUUCUUGUGAACAGAACCACUGCAUCAUUUCUUUUGGGGGGAGACUUCUGCCAGCCCCUUCCUUGGAGAUGAUAUGGACAGUGGGCCCCUUGAGAAGGAAAAUACUACUUUUGCUAUGGCCCCCUUGGGGUUAGUCAAUGACAUUUGAUUUAUUCACCUUUGAGGUUACCCUGCUGGUGUAUUUUUAAAAUAUGUUCAUGCUAAUCAUGCAGAAGGUGAGUAUUUAAAAAUCAAUUGAUUUUUAUUUUUUCCAUUAUAAUUGAUUCACAGUGUUCUGUCAAUUUCCACUGUAUAGCCAAGUGACCCAGUCAUACAUAUAAAAUAAAAAUCAUAAAAAAAUAUAAUGAGAAAAAGAAAUCAAUUGAGGGAGUUCCUGUUGUGGUGUAGCCGAAAUGAAUCCGACUAGUAUCCAUGAGGAUGUGGGUUUGUUCUGGCCUUGCUCAGUGGGUCAGGGAUCCGGCGUUGCCAUGAGCUGUGGUGUAGGUUGCAGACGUGUCUUGGAUCCGAGUUGCUGUGGCUGUGGCGUAGGAGGGCAGCUGUAGCUCCGAUUCGUCCCCUAGCUUGGGCACUUCCAUAUGCUGUGGGUGCGGCCCUAAAAAGAAAAAAAAAAUCAAUUGAUUAAAACCUGGCUUAAAGAAAAGCUGAACUUUCUGAUGUGUCUUCAAAUAUAUGGAAGGCCUGGAAUGAUGAAUCAGGCCCAGCAGGACCAUGGUUGCUGAUACAAGACUUAAAAAAUAGAUUUUAUAAAUGAUAGGACAUGGGAUUAGAAAAAGCAUUAAUCUUAUUGCAAAAAUUACCUUAUAAUUUUCUGGAAAUUCUCAAAUGCUAAGUGUUGCCUUAGGGGUUUUAUUUAUUUGUGGCCAGAAUGAUUACUAGAAGUGUGCUGGCUUAACAAAGGUUUUAUAAGUAAAGGAAAAAGUGAUUACAUCAAAUUCGGAUUUACCAGAGGGUCAUGUUUUUCUUUAGUUUUAGGUAUAUGAGGCUUGUCCCAAAUGCUGUGUGUGUGUGUGUGUAGAAGAUAAUUUUUUCUUUCAAGAGAAUUUUUCUACUACGAAAAGUCCUUUUGAAAUAAUAGCCUAAGACUAUGAUUUUGCACAGAGGACAGGUAAUAUUUUGUCUGUAACCAACAAAAUAACAUCGCUCCACCAACAGGCUGUCACACACGGUAUUUCAGAACCUUUGGGGCUCCCGUUACACAGACAGGCACAUGCUGUUGGGUUUUAUUUUGUUUCUUUUGCUGCUUAGGGCCGUACCUGCGGCACGUGGAAGUUCCUAGGCUAGGGGUCCAAUCAGAGCUGCAGCUGCCGGCCUACACCACAGCCACAGCAAUACCGGAUCCUUAACCCUCUAAGUGAGGCCAGGGAUCCUUAACCCACUGAGUGAAGCUGCGUCCUCAUGGAUACUAGUUGGUUCGUUCCUACUGGGCCACAGCAGGAACUCCAUGGUGGGUGUUGGGCUUUUAAGGACUCAAUUCUGGUUGUAACCUGCUGGACCCCGGGCCUACGCUAAAUCUCUAUGGCGAUGUUUAUGAAGCUCAUCUCCUGAGUAGACCAUUUGCUGUUCGUCGGAUGCCAGUUGACCACAGACCUUGGGGACUCAAGCAGGUGAGGAGACAACUAAAGAAGUAGGUGUUAGUCCCUAUUCUCUUCUGGGUCCGCCUGCCCUGGAGUCACUGCUCAGAAGAAGACAGUUCCCAGCCUGAGCCUUCAUGUCACCCUUGCAGCUGAAUAUUACACAUGCUCUCCUUUACCAAGCUGCUUGUUUCUUUGACAAGUUGUGAAACUGAAGCUGUAAGAGAAAAUUGAGAAAGAGAACACAAAGGUGUUUGAAAAAGGAAAAUACCCAGGGAUAUGGACAUUCUCAUCAUUUUCUCUCCCCUGGCCUGGAUUCUUGCGUACACUCAAAUGUUUGUGAAGGAAUGAAGGGAAGGAGAGAAAACAUCAGGGUAAAAAAAUCACUUAUUCUUUAUUCUUCCUUUAACCCACGGAGCAAGGCCAGGGACCCAACCUGAUCCUCAGGAUUGUCAAGUUCUGAACCCACUGAGCCACAAUGGAAACUCUGUUUUGUGGCAUUAAGAAAAAAAAAAUUCAUUUAACUUUAGGGUGACAAAGACUGGAUUUUAAGAUAGUCCUUCAACAUUUGGGCAUAGCUUAGUAUGAACCUUUUGACUGAUCUUAGAGAAACAAGAAAGACUGGAAAAAUGAAGUUUAAUAUAAAGUAAUAUUGGGCAGAAAGUAAGAAAUUGUCCUUUUCGUUUUGUGGGUAUGGGAUUCUGUUUUCUUACUCUUGUAUACCUCUGUCACUGCAGCUGAGGCUGUGCCAGGAUGAGAAUGGAGGGGUCUCAGGAAUGGGUACUAAUUUAGGAGUCUUUGACCUUGGCACAUUGGCAUCCGGUAACUAGAAGCACUAGUUGAAACAAGUUACGUAUCUCUCUGCUCCCCAGUUAUCUAUGUAGAGGGGAUAAUAACAGACUCUAUUCAUAGGCUUAUGGGGAUUAAAUGAGAUAAUGUUGGGGAAGCCUGUAGAAUAGCCCAGCACCCCGCCCCCCCAAGUUAGGAGAUGUUGACUCUUGUUGGAACACUGUAGUAGCAGGGUUUACUCCAUCGUAACCUCUAGAAAGAAGGCAGUCAGAGCUGGUAAACUGGGAAUUGCUCUUUCUUCUGUCCAUAGCCAGUAAAAUAGUGCCAUUGUCACACUGUCGGAAAGCUGCUGUGUAGUCCGUGGCCAGGAAAUGUGGUUUUUCCUGGGACAAAUCUCAGUCUCUUCUAAUUUUUGGCUGAGUCAGAACUCAAGAAGCGAUAAGUUCUCUGAUUGGACACAGUCGGGAUAAGAGAGUAGCAUUGAUUUGAUUUAUCAUCCACAUAUCUUUCCUCUUUAAUCCCCCCCCCCACUUUCUUCAACAGAGCGGUGUGGGAAAACAAAGGAAAUCUGAGCAUUUCCCCAUCUCCUAAUAGGCUGAAUGAUGUUUGCCUCCCAUGCCUGGUUUGAACGGUACCCCACAUUUAUUUGUGUUUCAUAUGAUUAGAAAGGAAAAGAAUCAUGUUGAAUGGUUUCUAUGUUGGAAAUUCUCAUGGGAAGGAACUCUUACAUAAACGUAAAGCUAAUAGAUUGUGUCGCCCUUUCCGACAACGCUGAAAGGACUGUCUUCAGAUGCUCGAUCAAAGCCUUGAUGGGUCCAGGGAGAAAAAGGGGAACAAAUUCUAUGAGAGGGACAAAUGGUUGUCCGGUUUGGCUUUCAUUUGGUUGACUGAGUUCUGCCUGACUUUCAACUAUCUAGACACUGGCAGUGUAUCAGCAGACCGAGCACACAGAUCAAGACAUGCCUCUAAGCCCCAUCUCUGCUUGAGCUCUUGUAUUUGUCUCUCUCAUCUGUUAAGCAGAAUCAUGUGAGUUUGUGAGUAUUCAGCCAUAUGAAAAUAAAAACCUACAUUGUCAUAG
Molecule: long non-coding RNA, 5799 nt
Filed under: Sus scrofa (pig)
Lineage: Eukaryota; Metazoa; Chordata; Mammalia; Artiodactyla; Suidae
Description: lncRNA (ENSSSCG00055014083.1)
Source: RNAcentral